CCCUACGGGAGGCAGCAGUGGGGAAUAUUGCACAAUGGGGGAAACCCUGAUGCAGCGACGCCGCGUGGAGGAAGAAGGUCUUCGGAUUGUAAACUCCUGUCCUUGGGGACGAUAAUGACGGUACCCAAGGAGGAAGCACCGGCUAACUACGUGCCAGCAGCCGCGGUAAUACGUAGGGAGCGAGCGUUGUCCGGAAUUACUGGGCGUAAAGGGCGCGUAGGCGGGAACUUAAGUUAGAUGUGAAAACUCCGGGCUUAACCUGGAGACUGCAUUUAAAACUGGGUUUCUUGAGGGCAGGAGAGGAA
This 305-nucleotide ribosomal RNA is filed under the name uncultured bacterium. RNAcentral's name for it is "bacterial SSU rRNA". It matches the Rfam family "Bacterial small subunit ribosomal RNA", at positions 337 to 659 of the family's 1533-position model. The record is from RNAcentral.